This 160-nucleotide ribosomal RNA is filed under the name uncultured bacterium. Its description in RNAcentral is "partial 16S ribosomal RNA". It matches the Rfam family "Bacterial small subunit ribosomal RNA", at positions 376 to 525 of the family's 1533-position model. The record is from RNAcentral.
GGGCACCCNGAUCAGCCAUUCCGCGGUGAGUGAAGAAGGCCUUCGGGUUUGUAAAGCUCUUUCAGCCGGAANGAAAUNGUGUGGANUAAUACNCUGUGUGUAAUGACGGUACCGGAAGAAGAAGCACCGGCUAACUACGUGCCAGCAGCCCGCGGUAAUG